RNAcentral lists this long non-coding RNA (9377 nucleotides) under Marmota monax (woodchuck). The stretch from base 2823 to 2891 matches the Rfam family "tRNA". The record is from RNAcentral. Lineage: Eukaryota; Metazoa; Chordata; Mammalia; Rodentia; Sciuridae.
ACCUGUCUCAAAAUUAAGCCAGGUGCAGUGGUGCACACCUGUAAUCCCAGUGUCUCCAGAGCCUGAGUGACGCAGGAGGAUCAUGAGUUCAAAGCCAGCCUCAGCAACAGUGAGGCACUAAGCAAUUCAUCGAGACCCUAUCUCUAAAUAAAAUACAAAAUUGGGCUGGAGAUGUAUCUUGGUGGUUAAGUGCACCAGGGUUCAAUCCCUGGUACCAAAAUAAAUAAAUACAUACAUAAAUAAAAUAAAAUAAAAUAAAAUAAAAUAAAAUAAAAUAAAAUAAAAUAAAAUAAAUACAAUUUAAAAAGGACUAAAGAAUGUAGCUCCAUGGUAUAGCACUUGCCUAACAUGUGAGGCCUGAGUUCAAUCCCCAGCACCACAAAAACCAAAAGCAAACCAAAAACAUGUCACUAUCAAAUGUGAGUCUUGCUUGUGGGUUUCUUUUCUUUCUUCCUUCCUUCCUUCCUUCCUUCCUUCCUUCCUUCCUUCCUUCCUUCCUUCCUUUCUUUCUUUCUGAAGUCAAGGAAGUUUUUGUCUCUUCCAAAUUUGUUUAGAGUUUUAUUUUUUUUUUUUAAUCACUAAUCGACGUGGAACUUUCUUGAUUCUUCCCCCCUCCAUCUAUGAGAUGAAAUACAUCUUUUCUUCUAUAGUCUGCUAUUGUUGAUUAUAACAAUAAAAUUAUAUAAUAAAACUAUAGCCUACCUAUCGUUAGGAUUAGGUUAGGCAGUGAAUGACAAAAGACCCAAAAUAGUGGCUUUCAUACCAGAGGAUGUCGGUCUUUCUCACACACGUCUGGAGCAGGCAGUUAGGGGCAGUUUGGCCCUGGUACUCCAGCAAAUGUACCAUGCCCCAGGGCCCUCCCCUCAUAGGCUGCCACUCUCCAGUGAGAUGACCUCUUUAUCCAAGGUGGCACUCUGGCCAUUGCAGCCACAUACUGCAUAGGGAGCGGCCAGAAGGGUGAGGCAGAGACAAAGGGCUGGCCAACUGAGGGCUCUCAGAAAAGGCUCCUGAAGCUGGUGGCCUGGACACAGCCCAUCUUUUACUGCAGCUUUUUAUAUACAUGUUUGUAGGUUCCAUCAACUUACAAUUUUCCUUUACCACAGUGCCCUUGAUUUUGAUAUGGCAGAUGUGUGCAAAUUGGGGGUUAAUCAUUCCUUGAAGGUCUGGCAUUGCUUAUAUGAAAAAUCUUUAUCUUGGGAGUUUUAUUGUGGGCAGAUUGAAAAACAUGUUUUAACAAUUUCGAAUUUACAGAAAGCUGAAGUAGGAUACAUACAAUUUGUCCUGAACAAAUACUCCAAUGUUUCCUACAAACAAGGGCAUUUUCUUAUGUAACCACAACGGGACCAUCAACCUCAGGAAAUGGACAUGGAUACAGGACUGCCAUCUACUCCUUGGGACCCAUGCAGGUAUCUAAAAUUGUCCCACUCGUGUCCUUUAGAGCCAAAGGAUCUGGUUCCAAGUCUCACAUUACCAAGUCUCAGUCUCUUUCAGAGUAAGGCGGAGCCAGGGCUUUCCUGAUCUUGAAGAUUACAGGCCAGUUCUCUGCAGCACACCCUGCAAUUUUGGUUUGAGUGAUGUCUCCUCAUCACUAGAUUCAGGUCUUGAGUCUUCAGCAGGAACGUCCCAGGGGCUGCUGUAUUAUGGUUUCAUCUUGUCCCAUCACCGGUAAUGUAUGCUGUGAUCCCUUGGAGAGAGUUUGCCAGGCUUCUCCACAGGAAAAUCACUGCAGAAAUCCCUUUUCCAUUUAUACUAAAUAAUUAUAUUGUGGGAGGAAUUCUGAGACUAUAUAAAUAUCCUGCUCACCAUCAAAUUCUCCCUUCCUUCCUUUCCUCCCUAACAGUUUGGACUCGUGGUUUCUUAUUUUAUUUAAGGAGUUAUAAUCUGUUACUAUCAUUACUUAUUUUGGUGCAGAGAGUAAUGCAGAUUUGCCCAUGGAUGCUCCUGCAAAGUACCUGCUGGGUCUUUCUGACCUGUCCCCAUCAUUCUUUAGGCACUUAUUUACUUUCAGUUACUACAGGCUGUUCCAGAUUCAUCUUGUGUUUUCCCUGGAGUGGCCUGGAAUCAGGCAGCACUGGCUCCUUUUAGAAGCCAAGAUUUAAGUGCUCAUUGCUUUGGGGUGUUGCUCCCAGGCACUCUCAGCAGAGAGGGCUGCAGAGUGUAUCUCUCUGAGUUCACAUCACCACCUCUGAUUCCAAACCAACAUCACGGGUUAGUUCUGUUUCUCUCUCUGGCCAUAUUUGUAAUUCUCCUUGCUAACAGUGGAAACAUGGCUCCCGUUACUUUAAUAUACUUAUUUGAUUAUUUACAACUACUCUCUCAUCACAACCACAGCUCCGUGUGUGUAGACACCCUCCUCACCCUGCAUGGGCUCUGGCAGCCCAUGCUGGACCCCACCUUCCUCGUGGCCCAGGGGAAGUAGUAGAUAAAGGCUGAUGUUGAUUGAACUGCCCCACUCAAUGCUCAGAAAUUCAAGGGUUAACCUAUAAAAAUGCCUUCUAAUUUUGAAUUGUUACCGGAAAGGAAAACAUUUGCUUGCAUAACUGGGAAAAGCUCUUAAGAAAUAUUGUCAAGUAAAUGAAAAUGCAAUUGAAAAUCCUUAUUGAACAGGUACAUACAGCAGCACACACCUGCGAUCCUAGUGAUUCAGGAGGCUAAGGCAGGAGGAUUGCAAGUUCAAGGCCAGCCUGGGUGACUUAGCAAGACUAUGUUUUAAAAUAAAAUAAAAAGAGCUGGGUUGUUCCUCGGUGGUAGAAUGCACCUGGGUUCAAUUCCCAAUACUGGAAAACAAAACAAAACACACAAGAAAUCCUUAUUGAGAGGCUGGAGUUGUAGCUCAGUGGUAGAGCACUUGCCUAGUACGUGUGAGGCACUGGGUUUGAUCCUCAGCACCACAAAUAAAUAAAUAAAUAAAUGUAUUUAAAAGUAAAAAAGAAAAAGAAGAAACCCUCAUUGAAAUCUUGGAACCUUGUGAACAACACAGCCUGAGACUCCUGGUUUGAGGCCCUUUUCCUGAACCCUGUGGUCUGCUUCUAUACCUUUGUAAGUCAUGCUUACAAAGGGUGGUUGGAUGUGCCUGCUAACUGCAUUAUUGUCACACACACACUCACUGUCACAAUACCAUUGUCCUGCUGCAUGGUCUCAGGUUGAGAAAUUCGGUGGCUUCUCGUGUCUGUGGUUCAUGGAUGUUGAUGUCCAUGGCUGACAUUUCCUAGGCUGGCCAGGGUGCCCACCUCCAGGGGCCAUCCAUCUGACAUCCUGUGUCUGAUCUGAGGUCUGAGGAACUGCAUCCUGCUGGACAGGAAGGUGUGGAAGUGGAAAGCUCUGUCAGUCCCACCCCACACCCCAGCCAUGUGCCCCUUCUGUCCUUCUGUGUCUCUGCUGAUAGCCAUCACGCGGAUCAGGUAGGGGGCCCUGGAGACGGUUAGCCACCGGCAGAGCCACCACCUGGGGAGAGGCUGGCUGGAUGUUGACCUCUCUGGGUGUUCAGGUCUCCUGCCACAGCCAGGGGACCUUGUCUCUCCCUCCUGUCUCUCCUCCUGCUUCUCUCCCUUUGGACCUUUCUAUCCAUUAUCAACCUUUCCUCCAGGUGUCUUUUUCCUUUCACUAUCUCUGUCACUUGUUUUCUCAGCCUGAUUCUGCUACUGAUUCAUUGGGCCUUGGUUUUCUCAUCUGGAAAAUGGGGAGAGGGUUGGAUCCUCAGGCCCUCCUGGCUCUUCCCUCUCCAACCGCCUGCCCCUGUAACAUGUCCUCUCAUCUGCUCCUUGUCUAUCUUGCAUUCUUACCUCUCUGCCUCUGAUUGCUCUUGGAAUCUCUCUCCUUCCCCUUCUUCUAUGACUUUACUUCCCUCCUGCAGCAUCCACUUCCUGUCUUAAUUUUUCCUUCUCUGAAUCUAGUUCUCUUUCUCCCCCUCUCUCCUUCUGUUUCUCUUGCUUGUGACUCUAGAGUCUCUGUCUCGUGUCUCUCUCUGCCUUCCUCCCUUUUUCCCAUCUAUGACAACUUGUUCUGAACUGUUUCCCUGUGUCACUGACCCCCCUCCACUCUGCUGUCUCAGUCUUUCCUAAUACCAAUGUUUCUGGGUUUCCACCCACUUCCCUCUCCCUAUUUAGAGUCCUCCUUCCUGGUCAUGCCCUGGCAGAGGACUGGGAGCUGGGCUCUGGUGCCACGAGAUCCCCACAGAGCCAGCUCCUCCCUGUGAUGGGAACACCAGCUGUGAGGCUGGCCCUUGGAAGCAGGUGGGGCCCAGCUGGCUGCCUCUGCCUCAAAGAAGGCUCGGAAAGUCACAUGUGGCACUCAGAAGGUAGAAAUCCUGCCACAUCCCAAACCCAGAGUAGGCUUCGGCUUCACGACCAAGCCUACCCUGUGUGUGUGGGCACAUGUCUCUGCACACACAGCUGGGCACCAGCUCUGGUGGUCAGCUCCCCUCAGGGAUUGCUGCUGGCGUUCAGAUUCACUGAAAGAUGGCUUCCUUUCCUUGGAGCCUACUCCAGCCUUGAUCGCAAGCUCCCAGCCCUGGGCUGGCUCUUGGAAUGUCUCCAUGUGGAGAUGAUCAACACUCACAGGGAGAGAGUUCUGGCCCAUGCACAGGUGAGGAGUUGCUUUAAACCCCAUCAAGCCUGCAGAUUCUGUGCCUUGCACUCUCCCCCCUCACUCCGUCCCAUGCUUUCUAGAAUUCAGACCUAGCAGACAUUCCCUGGCAUCCAUGGGUGCCAGGUGAUCCUGUCACUGUACACAAACCCACAGCCUCCCCAAGAGGUGGGCACAGUUCUCCAUUUCAUAGGUGAUAUUUAGGUUCCUGAGGUCACAGGCCAGACAGAGGCACAGCCCAGCACAAGUCCAAUCUGCCCAUAUUGUUCUCUGCCCACUGUGACAACUCAAGGUUGAAGAAUUGGCAGUGGGGGUGCCAGGGGGCAGGGAGAAGCUGUGUUGGCCUGCAGAAGCAGACCGUUGGCAGCUGGUCCUGGAAAAGGCACAACAGAAAUAAAGUACGUCAGACUGCUGUUCCAGUAGGGACCAGGCGGAGUUCAAGGCCCGGUGUUUUCAGGGUGGGGCAGUGUGGCAGGCCUGACUCUGUAGGGUAAGAGUUGGAGGCACAGGCAAAUCACAGGUAGCACAGCCCGGAGGAAGUGAGAAAGUCCCAAAGCAUGGUCCAAGAGGAAGCUGUGACAGGCCUCGCUUCUUGGAGGUGGCUGGAUGGUGGUUUAAUAGCACAGACAAGGAUUUGCCUCCUCCCUGGCUCACAGCCCAGGGCCUCUGGAGCACUGCAUCAGGAAAGGCUCCUCAGGUCUCCAAACCCUGGUGUCCGCUCUGUGCCAUCACUCUUGCUCCCAGUCCAUGGUAAGUUCUUCAAACACUGUGCCAGGCCUCCCCUCUGGGGUCACUGGGGCCAUGGAGAGUACUGGAUAGCACUUCAGGCUACAAACUGCCCCCUGAGCCUCCAGGACAUUGGCAAGGGCCCAUCUGACAAAUGUGGCUCCUUUCUCAUCACCGCUGCUCAGGGUUUCUGGAUUCCCUCAUCUACUCCUCGCAGUUCGCCAUCGACUCUGCGCAGUUGUUGCUUCCGUCUGGCUCCAGUUCCGAUGUUCAUCCGGGGAUGGAGAUGAAGUCGCAGAGGGGGUUUCAUCCACUUGCACAUGCAUGAGGGUGGAGGGGCUGGAAUUCACCAGACCAGGGAUCCCUUCCAAAGCCUGUGGUUCUCAUCUCCUGAUGUGCCCCAUCCUUUCCCAUCUUCCAAAUCUCUGCCUUCCCUACCAAAUUACAGCAGCACCCUGUCUCACUGGCAUGAAAAAUGGAGCAGGCACAGAGUAGAAGAUCAGAGAAUAUGGAACCCACAGAUGUGCAAAGGUGUGCAUGUGACUAGUGAGCAGGAUGCCCCCGAGGAACUUCAUCAAGAAUGGACGGGAAGAUUCUAUUGAAGCCCAGGACUAGGAGCCUGGAUGUGAGCUGCUGGCAGAAGAGGCAGACCCUCCUGGUGGCAGAGGUGUUGGCUGGCUCAGUGGGGCUGUUGCAAUACAAACGUCUCAGGCUAUAGGCUCAGCAGGAGAGGGUUUAGGCCAGGGCAGGUGUGGUCCUGUUCAACUCUACGCUGGCCUGCAGCACCUGGGCAUGUUCUGGACACUGACUGAUGUGAGAAAAAAAGGCUCACUGCAGGUACCUUCCCAUGUGGGCCUCGGCCAGGCUGCAGACCUGCGCUCAGCAUCAUGGGGACCAGCUCACCCCCGAAGCCUGACUGCUAUUCUGUGUUCUGGGCUGGACACUCCUCUGGCUUGGCACAGCCAGUUGCUUUGUGGCAUCUUAAAGUUUUGUUGUUGUUGUUGUUUAUUUUGUUUUUUGAAGUUGUGUCUAAUUGGGCUUUGCUUUCUGCAGGGUGCCCCCUGCCAAUGAGGGCCCUUCGAGGUCCCUCUGAAGCAAUUGGACCCAAGCCUUGUCCCUGUGAGAAAUCCUGGCAGGGGUCAGGAGUGACAGUUAUGCAUAAAAUCACCACCAAAGGGAAUACGUGGCCUUUUACUGUCCUGUUAAGUGAGCAAAUUCACACCCUGGGGAGGUGCAAGUUAAGUUCACAUAAAAUCUUCAUUUCCCACAUUACCAACUUGCACCUGGAGCUCCUCUGGGGCAGGGUGCAUUUGGUGUCUGCCCAGGUGGCAGGAUGGUCUCCCGUGUCUGCAGCAUCUUCCCCAGCCUAAGAACAGCUCCCCAGACUGUCUUCCAUCCCCAGGAACUAACUACUUUCACUCAAAUAGAAUUUUCUUCAUUCUCACAGAAACUUCAUUUGGAUCCUCAGAGACUGAUGCCUUUUCUUCUUACCUCGUGCUUUCUGGGGGACGUCUGGGGGACGUCUCUGAGCCCCAAAGGCCUCACCUGUAAGUGUCAUGGACCUCCAGCAGACCAAGCACUGUCCUUGUGAGAACACAGAAGAAGGCAUGCUUAUCUCCCUGGGCCCUGGGCAGAGAGUGUGCUCUCUGAGACCCCCGGUACAGGCAGCAGGCGUGGCUGUCUCUGAGCCUGCUUUUGAUGACUUGCUCCUACACUCAGCAGACUCUGACUUGGCCUUCAGUGCCUUGAGACUUUCACCUGCCAGAGCUGUCAAUAAACUACAGGAGAAGCCCAGGUGUUCCCUCUUGUAGGUGGUUCAACGCCAAGAGACGCUAGCUGAGGCCAGUUACUUGAAGAUUUGGUGCCCCCUGCUGGAUAAAGACUAAAAUGCUAAGAGGAGACAACACUUUUUCAAAAGGGCAUUUAUUUCAUCCAUCAGCAUCCUUCCAUUAACCUUUCCACCUCCCCAUUAAGCUACCAUCCACACACCCACCCAUCAAUCCAACCAACCAACCAUUUACCCAUCUAGCCAUUCACAAGCCUAUCCAUCCUAUUCAUCCAAACACACACACACAUACACACACACACAUACACAUACACACUCACACACACACGUGCCAGUCUCACUCAUGUCCUUUAGGCAUCACCCACUUUCAUAGGGUCUCCCAUUGCAACAGUCCCACGCUCCUCUUCUGCACCAGGCCCUGCAUAGGCUUCAGUGAUAGAAAAAGAAGAAGGAAGGCCUUCAUCUGUGUCUCUUUCUUAUUUGCAGAUCACCCUUAUACGCAUCAUAUCUUCUGUCCCUGUAGUGUCCUUAAAGAGCCUAAAGAUCCCAAUUUGACUGAUGAAGAAACUGAAACCUGAGAGACCAAGUGGUAUGGCAGAAAUAGUCUGGGGACAGAGAGAUCAGUUUCAAAUCAAGGCUCUGUUGCUUACUAAUUCUGCCACCCUGGGCAAGUUUCUUAAGUUCUCCAAACCUUGAUUCCUUAUCUGUGAAGUUAGCUACUUUGACAUGUAUUUAUUGUGUAUAACUUAGAUGCCAGACUUGGCUUUGGGGCACAGCAAUGAAUAAGGAGGGAGGGGCCCCUGCUCUUGUGAACCUUACUGGGCUAUUAUGGUAAAAUUUAUACGAGAUGGGAACAUCCUGCAUUGUCAUAGAAAUGCCACUUACGUCAUGUCUUUGUUACUACCUCUGUAAAGAACACAAUCAGGUUAAGAGAUGCUUUUGUGGGAAAAGAAAAGUUUAGGUAAUGUUUUAAAAAAGCAGUACAGAUAGGGGUCGGGAGCACAGACUUUGGAACCAGGCUGCCUGGUCUGAAUCCCAGCUCUGCCACCUGAGAAGCCUGUGACCUUCAGCUGGUAAUAACCUCCUUGCACUUUGGUUUUCUCAUCAGCAGAAUGGGGAUAACAAUUCAGCAUGUGCUUUAUCACAUAUCUAGCCAAGCACAUAUCGGGGCCCAGUCAUGAACAAGAUGGGGAAGGCCCUUCCUAUCUCAGGAGGGCAGAGGGGCCACUGUGUGCCAAGCACCCAGUACAGCCUGAGACUCCCAUGACUGUGUGCAGAGGCUCUUGUGGUGAAAUUCACUAGUACUUUCUGUUGUUGCUCCUUGGCUCCCUGGGGCUGAUGAGAGCAGCAACCAGGGUGCAGAAGUCCCAGUCAAUUAACAGGUCAGAAGUGUCAAUAGCCGAGCAGCCCCACGAGAGGGACUGGUAAGUGGCUAAGCAUGGAGGAGUGUGAGCAGGGUGGACAUACAAACAGGCAGUGCUGCCCAGUUGGAGAGUUGGCACAGAGGCCACUUAAAGCUCCUUCCUCAAUCAAGAGGCUCCAUUUUUCUGGGGGCACAGAUGGAGUUGCUGUUAAUACCCAUGGGGAAGCCCCCAAAAUGGAGAGAAAAUAGCCAGGGUGGUACUGCCUCUUGGGGACACUCACCAGAGCGUCUGCCUGACACCUGAGGCCCUCUGCUAUGGCUCAGUUUCUUCCAGGAUCUAGGGAGACUGGUGGACAACCUGGGCACCCUUCCCAGGGACUGCCUCCUAGUCCUAGGCACACCCCCGACGCCAGGUUGAUGUAUAUGACACCGAGACAAACCUUCUCAGCCUCCCCCCAAAUUGCAGAUUCAUGAACAAAGUAAAUGAUCCUUCUGUUAAGCCUUGAAGUUUGGGAUGGAUAACUAGACAGCUAGAGCAUGCCCUGUACUCUGCUUAGCUCUCCAAGAAUUCAAGGAGAUAAUGUGUUUCUAGAAUAUAUGAAUUAUGUCACCUUGUGAAGUUACUUACCUGCCCUCAGUCUCUGUUUCUCAUCUCUAAAAUGGUGACAGGAAUCGUAACAUCUGGAAAAAUGCACACAGAGUCACAGCAGUCUGGGUAAAUACCCCUGAUACCUGCCCCUUGUCUUCAGGGUGAAAUCUAAACUGCCAAGCCUGGUAUUUAAGGCCCGUUUCCAUUUGGUCCCUGAAAAUUCCUCCAGCCUCAUCCCCUGCCACGUCCUCCGACUCAGGAAUCUUGGCAUCGUCCAUGCUCCCAGGCCUCCAGACACCUGCUUCUGCUGAUCCCUGUCACCCAUGCAC